Ictidomys tridecemlineatus (thirteen-lined ground squirrel) is the source of this 65-nucleotide microRNA precursor. NCBI's taxonomy places the organism in Eukaryota, Metazoa, Chordata, Mammalia, Rodentia, Sciuridae. The record is from Ensembl.
CUCGAAUCCUUGGAACCUAGGUGUGAGUGCUGCUUCAGUGCAACACACCUAUUCAAGGAUUCAAA